Molecule: unclassified non-coding RNA, 634 nt
Filed under: Hevea brasiliensis (rubber tree)
Lineage: Eukaryota; Viridiplantae; Streptophyta; Magnoliopsida; Malpighiales; Euphorbiaceae
Source: RNAcentral
GGAAAUAAGAGUUCUCUCUCCCUUAACAUUAAAAAUAUUUUUUAAAUAUGAAUGUUGAUAUGGUCUAAAAUAAGUUGACCUUCAAGAUGUAGACAUGUGUCAUCACCUGCUGGUCUGUAUGGAUACGAGUGUCCAAUUUGAGACCUUGUUGGAUUACCUACUUAGAUGAACCAUGACCGGCUGAGGGUCACAAGGCUCAAGGCCUAGCGGUACAACCCAGACAACUAAACACCCGAGUUCUACUUCUACCAAGAUAGGAGCUUGGCUGGUCAUUAAUCACUAACGUGACGUAAAGUACAUAGGGGACUUCCCUUGAAGCCCCUCAACAGAUGAAACAUUCACGAAAAGAUAUUAUCAUUACACCCGUUAAACACUAAUCUCACUAGAUACUGUGGGGAUAUCUCAUUGAUCCUGACAUCUCUUCAGGUAGCUCAACAUGCAAGCCACCUAUGAAGCUAAUAAUUACAAAUUCCACUUGCAUUGCCUCACCAACUAGAAGAUGCCAUCUGCUUCAGUCUGCAAAACCCCAAGCUGGUAUAAAUAGAAGAUAUGAGACUUUAAGGAUCCCGGAACUGGGUAUCAAAAUCCUAAUUCUCUGCAUCCCAUUAUUAUCCGAUAUUCUCAGUCCCUGGAC